RNAcentral lists this ribosomal RNA (514 nucleotides) under uncultured bacterium. RNAcentral's name for it is "bacterial SSU rRNA". It matches the Rfam family "Bacterial small subunit ribosomal RNA", at positions 28 to 533 of the family's 1533-position model. The record is from RNAcentral.
GAUGAACGCUAGCGGGAGGCUUAACACAUGCAAGUCGAGGGGCAGCAUAGGGUAGCAAUACUCUGAUGGCGACCGGCAAACGGGUGAGUAACGCGUAUGUAACCUACCCUGUACAGGGGGAUAACCCGGAGAAAUUCGGACUAAUAUCCCAUAACAAUAUCCGGGGGCAUCUUUGGAUAUUUAAAGUUCCGGCGGUACGGGAUGGGCAUGCGUAACAUUAGCUAGUUGGUAAGGUAACGGCUUACCAAGGCUUUGAUGUUUAGGGGUCCUGAGAGGGUGGUCCCCCACACUGGUACUGAGACACGGACCAGACUCCUACGGGAGGCAGCAGUGAGGAAUAUUGGUCAAUGGGCGCAAGCCUGAACCAGCCAUCCCGCGUGCAGGAAGACGGCGCUAUGCGUUGUAAACUGCUUUUCCAGGGAGAGAAACUUGCGCACGUGUUGCGCAAUUGACGGUACCCUGGGAAUAAGCAUCGGCUAACUCCGUGCCAGUAGCCGCGGUAAACUGUAGUCGU